Molecule: ribosomal RNA, 253 nt
Filed under: uncultured bacterium
Lineage: Bacteria
Description: partial 16S ribosomal RNA
Rfam family: Bacterial small subunit ribosomal RNA
Source: RNAcentral
UACGUAGGCAGCAAGCGUUGUUCGGAGUUACUGGGCGUAAAGGGUGUGUAGGCGGUUCCUUAAGUUUGCUGUGAAAUCUCCCGGCUUAACCGGGAGGGUGCGGUGAAUACUGAGGGACUAGAGUACGGGAGAGGAAAGUGGAAUUCCUGGUGUAGCGGUGAAAUGCGUAGAUAUCAGGAGGAACACCGAUGGCGAAGGCAGCUCGCUGGGACGGUACUGACGCUGAGGCGCGAAAGCGUGGGGAGCAAACAGG